Molecule: long non-coding RNA, 705 nt
Filed under: Lactuca sativa (garden lettuce)
Lineage: Eukaryota; Viridiplantae; Streptophyta; Magnoliopsida; Asterales; Asteraceae
Description: long non-coding RNA (LSAT_LNC009692)
Source: RNAcentral
GAACCCUACUCUCUUCAACAAUCGGCAAUCAGCAUCACUUCAUCAUCAUUCAAUUCUUCAUCUCCAAGUUUCCAUCGAUUACAAGUUUCCAUCUCCAAGUUUCAAUCGAUCUUCAAUUCUUUAUCAUCAUUCAUUGAUUUUCAUCUUCAAUUGCUUCAAUGAUUCAAACUAUGGAUGUUCAUGAAGAUCAAGUAAGAGCAUAUAUUUAUAUUUCAUGUUUUAAGAUUAUAUAUUUCAAUAUUUGCUUCAAUGCUUCAAUGAUUCGCCAAAUAAUGGCAUGCAUGCAAGUUUUUUUUCUUUGCUUUUGUUGUCUCCAUUCCAAAUAUAUGCAUUGUUAUCCCUACUUAAUUAAAAGAUCUUGAUUCUUGAUCAUAGUCUCAUAGUGGAGUACUCCUUUACGGAUGAAAGGUUGUACAUAUAAUAUAUGUUUCAUGUUUUAAGCUCCAUUUAACAAUGUACUUUGUAGACAUACAUGCAAGAUUUUUGUUAGAUUAGUUUAUUGUUUUAUAGUAUGAAUGCAAUUAUGUAAGAUUGUCAAAACUACGAAUUUGUUUACUACUUUUGUUAUAUAAUUAAUGUGUAAAAUUGACAUUGUAGGAUUUGGAUGGGCUACCAAAUGUACCAUCAUCAAGAUACCAAAACUCGGAUGCUCAUGAUGCCAAUAUUAAAGAUGGUAAUCCGGCUAAUUGGAUUGGAAAAGACUUU